GUGUCAGCCGCCGCGGUAAGACGAACCGUGCAAACGUUGUUCGGAAUCACUGGGCUUAAAGGGCGCGUAGGUGGAUGAGCAAGUCUGUGGUGAAAUCCCCCGGCUUAACCGGGGAACUGCCGUGGAUACUGCCCAUCUCGAGGAGGGUAGGGGCGUCUGGAACUAGCGGUGGAGCGGUGAAAUGCGUUGAUAUCGCUAGGAACUCCGGUGGCGAAGGCGAGACGCUGGACCCUUUCUGACACUGAGGCGCGAAAGCCAGGGGAGCGAACGGGAUUAGAUACCCCAGUAGUCC
This 292-nucleotide ribosomal RNA is filed under the name uncultured bacterium. Its description in RNAcentral is "partial 16S ribosomal RNA". It matches the Rfam family "Bacterial small subunit ribosomal RNA", at positions 505 to 796 of the family's 1533-position model. The record is from RNAcentral.